RNAcentral lists this small RNA (107 nucleotides) under Arabidopsis thaliana (thale cress). Its description in RNAcentral is "ATSL112000". The record is from RNAcentral. Lineage: Eukaryota; Viridiplantae; Streptophyta; Magnoliopsida; Brassicales; Brassicaceae.
AAAUAUUCACAUAUAGAUUUUGUUUUUCCUUAAUUCAGAUAAUACAGCGCGGACAACAGUCAAAAGUAUUAGUAAAUAACUUACUAAUGACACAUAACUUUUGUUUA